Molecule: unclassified non-coding RNA, 5694 nt
Filed under: Hevea brasiliensis (rubber tree)
Lineage: Eukaryota; Viridiplantae; Streptophyta; Magnoliopsida; Malpighiales; Euphorbiaceae
Source: RNAcentral
CAAUGAGAAUGGAAAGGUGUUCCACUUAAAAUCCAAUCAGUCAUUGACAGAAUACGAGCACAGCUGAACUCGACCUUGUUUUACCAAAUCCAUAACCUCAGCCACUAAAAAGUUCUCUCUCCCUUUCUGUGUCUUUGCCAUCUGCUCUCUCGUUCUCUCUCCGUAGCAACUUGGCAUUCCUCUCGAAAAACUCAAAUCUUAAUUGCAGGGGGAGCCAUUUCUAGGGUUUUCUCUUCGUCUCUAAAUUGAAGAAACUGGUCUUUAAUGGUGGUCCUAAUGUGCUUCCGUUUGCAGAAUCCUGACCUUCAAUUCUAAUGACUUUCCCCACCAGUGAAUGGCUGGAUUUCACUCGUUCACUCCCUUCCAUUUCGCCAUUCUCGUAACCACGCUAAUUACAAACACUAACCUUGUUCUCUCCUCGAGUAGGGAGGAUUAUUUAUCAAUAAUCGAUUUCGAUUCCAAUCUCUUUCACCAGGAUUACUCCCCUCCGUCUCCACCGCCUCCGCCGCCGCACGCGCCGUCGGUUUCUUGCACCGAUGAUCUCGGCGGCAUAGGCUCUCUGGAUACCACUUGUCAGAUAGUCUCUGACGUGAACCUCACCCGUGACGUGUACAUAGAAGGGAAGGGCAAUUUUUAUAUCCAUCCCGGGGUGAGUUUCAGUUGUCCCUCUGCUGGUUGUUCUAUAACCGUUAACAUCACUGGCAAUUUCACUUUGUCAAUCAAUGCAUCGAUUGUUACUGGGAGCUUUGAGCUCGUGGCUCAUGAUGCGAGCUUUCUUAAUGGAACUUCAGUAAACACGACGGGAUUGGCUGGGAAACCGCCACCGCAGACGAGUGGAACCCCUCAGGGGAUAGAUGGUGCGGGAGGAGGGCAUGGUGGGAGGGGAGCUUGUUGCUUAGUGGAUGAUAAGAAGCUACCGGAGGAUGUUUGGGGAGGGGACGCGUACUCGUGGUCCUCUUUGCAGAAUCCGACGAGUUAUGGAAGCAGGGGAGGGAGUACGAGUAAGGAGGUGAGUUAUGGUGGGGGAGGGGGUGGAAAAGUAAAAUUGACAAUAAGUGACUAUGUGGUAGUGGAUGGCUACAUAUUGGCUGAUGGAGGUGACGGGGGUACCAAGGGAGGCGGUGGCUCUGGUGGCAGCAUCUGCAUAAAGGCCUAUAAAAUGACCGGAAGUGGCAGAAUAAGUGCUUGUGGAGGCAGUGGUUUUGCUGGUGGUGGUGGUGGAAGAGUUUCAGUUGACAUUUUCAGUAGGCAUGAUGAACCUCAAAUUUUUGUGCAUGGAGGAAGUAGUCGCGGCUGUCCAGAAAAUGCAGGUGCUGCUGGGACUUUAUAUGAUGCUGUUCCCCGGAGCCUUACUGUUAACAAUCACAACAUGUCGACAAAUACUGAGACUCUCCUUUUAGAGUUUCCAUAUCAGCCUCUUUGGACAAAUGUUUAUCUUCGAAAUUGUGCCAGGGCGACUGUACCCUUGCUUUGGAGUCGUGUCCAGGUCCAAGGACAAAUAAGUCUAUUGUGUGGCGGAGUGCUGAGCUUUGGUCUAGCUCAUUAUGCUUCAUCUGAGUUUGAAUUAUUGGCAGAAGAACUCUUAAUGAGCGACUCUGUAAUUAAGGUGUAUGGGGCUUUGCGCAUGACUGUAAAAAUUUUCUUAAUGUGGAAUUCCAAUAUGAUCGUAGAUGGUGGUGAAGAUGCAACUGUUGCAACUUCUUGGCUUGAGGCUAGUAACUUAAUUGUUCUUAAGGAAUCAUCUGUCAUACAAUCUAAUGCAAAUCUGGGAGUUCAUGGACAGGGUUUGUUAAAUUUAUCAGGACCAGGCAAUUCAAUUGAAGCUCAACGUCUGGUUCUAUCACUAUUUUACAGUAUUCAUGUUGGACCUGGAUCUGUUUUACGCGGUCCUCUGAAGAAUGUGACAAGUGAUGCCGUGACACCAAGACUCCAUUGUGAACUUGAAGAUUGCCCUAUUGAACUACUUCAUCCUCCUGAAGAUUGCAAUGUGAACUCAUCUUUGUCUUUUACUCUUCAGAUUUGCCGAGUGGAGGAUAUCACUGUUGAAGGGCUAUUAAAGGGAUCUGUUGUCCAUUUCCAUCGCGCAAGAACUGUAUCUGUCCCGUCUUCUGGAACAAUUAGUGCAUCUGGGAUGGGCUGCACAGGUGGAGUGGGUGGAGGUCAGGUUUUAGAAAAUGGUGUUGGCAGUGGUGGUGGCCAUGGUGGUAAAGGUGGGCUUGGAUGUUACAAUGGUAGCUGUGUUGAGGGUGGUAUUUCAUAUGGAAAUGCAGAGUUACCUUGUGAACUUGGUAGUGGAAGUGGUAAUGAAAAAUCAUCCGGUUCAACUGCAGGUGGUGGUAUCAUAGUAAUGGGUUCAUUGGAGCAUCCCUUGUCAAGUUUGUCUGUUGAAGGCUCAGUGAGAGCUGAUGGAGAGAGUUUCCAAGAAAUUGUUAAACAGGGGGAGUUCAGUGUUAGAAAUGAUACCAUUAGAGGUCCUGGGGGCGGUUCUGGAGGAAGUAUACUGUUGUUUCUGAAUACACUGGAUCUUGGUGAGUCUGCUGUUCUUUCAAGUGGUGGGGGCUAUGGUGUGCCAAAUGGGGCUGGUGGAGGAGGUGGUGGUAGGAUUCACUUCCAUUGGUCAGACAUUCCCACUGGAGAUGUGUACCAGCCCAUUGCCAGUGUAAAAGGAAGCAUUCACACUGGGUUUGUAUUUCAUCUAGUUAUCCUAAUCACCCUGAUAAUUUUUUUGAGGUUUCAAAUUUUGCAUGAAAACAUUUCUUUUUCUUUUCUUUUGGCACAUUUUAUAAAUCUUUUUUAUUUUGUGAUUGACAAGAAAAUGUUUAUUGUAAAGACUGAAUUUCAUUGUAGCCUUGAAAAAUUGGUUUGCACUUGAUCAAUUUUUCCAGGUGAGGAGUCGAGAUAAAUAGUUCCUUGGAAUUUUUGAUAUACUAGCCAAGAUUAUGCUGUACGACAAUGUGUAUAUAGUUGAUUUAUCUGAUCAUUCAUUCUGUAGUAUAGUCAGUUUGAGUUAUAUAUAUAUAUAUAUUCUUGAAAGGCCUUUGUUCAAUAAGAUAAACUGAGAAUCUAAAUGGUAAUAGUGGUAAUACUCAACUGAGCUUGCAUCUCAAUCUGAUUUGAGGUUGCUUACAUGGUUCAUUUUCCUUAAGUCUACUUGGUAUAGGGCUUUUUUAAUAAAAUGCUCUUGUGCGGCUAAAUCCAUCUAACCACUUUGGCUUGUGUGGUUAAAUUGGGCAACAAAAUAAUGACAUAAAUGACUAUAUUGAAUUUGAGAAAAUUUGAACUCAAAAUGAGAGACUGAGAAAUGUUGGGUGGACAAAACUAUCCAAAUGCCUCAAUAGCACAUUGGUAAUGGCACUAUUAAUGAUGGAGGGCUGUAGCAUGUUAUUACCAUUAGUAUGGGGGUUGGGUAUGCAUAACCUGGGGGAGACUGCUCUCUGGUGCUUUUGCCUUCAUAAUUUUUUUGAAUACAGUAUGGAGAACAGAGGACCGUCCUCUUUCUACAGCAUUGUUGUGUGGCGCUUCACAUAAAUUGCGUUUCAUUCAUUCACCCACUGGAAGCUAUGGAUUUCUAUGCUAUCUAACAUAAACUUACUCUUCCUGGGCUUCUUUUGGUCUCUGUUGAAAAACUGAAAGUAGUAUGUUUUGGUUAUCUCCUUGCAUUUGCUACUUACCAAUAGGGCAGUUCUUUUAUUUUGAAUGAGCUGUUUGAGAAAGUAGAAUUUCUUGCCUUAUCAUAAUAUGUGGAGUUGCGUAUUUGCAUUUCUCUGGUGAAAGCUAUGGUAGGCUUGUACUAGCAAUGCUAAUUGUCGUCAAUUCCAAUAUAUUUUUGGUCUUAUUGAUAUUACAGGGGAGGGAUGGGUAGAGGUGAGGGUCAUGCUGGACAAAAUGGAACGGUGACUGGGAAAGCUUGCCCAAAAGGGCUGUACGGAGAAUUUUGCAAGGAAUGUCCAGCUGGCACUUAUAAGAAUGUUACUGGAUCUGAUAGAGCUCUUUGCCGUCCCUGCCCUCUCAAUGACCUUCCCCAUCGAGCUAUUUAUAUUGCUGUCCGAGGUGGUAUUGCUGAAACACCAUGUCCCUACAAAUGCAUCUCAGACAGAUUUCACAUGCCACAUUGUUAUACAGCGCUUGAAGAGUUGAUUUACACUUUUGGUGGUCCAUGGUUAUUUUGUCUUCUUCUUGUGGGGCUUCUCAUUCUCUUAGCCCUGGUACUUAGUGUUGCGCGGAUGAAAUUUGUUGGUGUUGAGGAAUUACCAGGCCCUGCACCCACUCAACAUGGCUCUCAAUCUGAUCACUCAUUCCCUUUCUUGGAGUCGUUGAAUGAGGUUUUGGAAACAAAUAGAGCUGAGGAGUCUCAGAGCCAUGUACACAGAAUAUAUUUUAUGGGCCCUAAUACUUUUAGUGAACCUUGGCAUCUUCCGCACACUCCUCCUGAGCAAAUAAAAGAGAUUGUAUAUGAAGGUGCUUACAAUACAUUUGUGGAUGAGAUCAAUUCUUUAACUGCUUAUCAAUGGUGGGAAGGUGCAUUGUACAGCAUUCUUUCUGUUCUGUCAUAUCCCCUUGCAUGGUCAUGGCAACAAUGGCGCCGGAGAAUCAAAUUGCAAAGAUUGCGUGAGUUUGUUCGAUCAGAGUAUGAUCAUGCUUGCUUACGUUCUUGUCGUUCGCGAGCUCUCUAUGAGGGGCUUAAGGUAGCUGCAACUCCUGACUUGAUGCUUGCAUAUCUCGACUUCUUCCUUGGUGGAGAUGAAAAGAGAGCUGAUAUCCCUCCCUGUCUACAUCAAAGGUUUCCCAUGUCUUUAGUUUUUGGAGGAGAUGGAAGUUAUAUGUCUCCUUUCUCCCUUCGCAGUGACAAUAUUCUCACCAGCCUCAUGAGCCAGUCUGUUCCUCCAACCAUUUGGUAUCGAUUAGUGGCUGGACUAAAUGCGCAAUUACGCUUGGUUCGAUGUGGACGCUUAAAGAUUACUUUUGGUCAUGUUAUUGGCUGGCUUGAAACACUUGCAAAUCCUGCUUUAAGUGCAUACAGUGUACAUGUUGAUCUUGCAUGGUUUCAACCUACGUCUUCUGGAUAUUGCCAGUUUGGGCUUGUGGUAUGUGCAACUGAGAAUGAGAGUGUUGCCCCAUCAAUUGAAGGUCAAGAUGGAUCUCUGUUACCUGGGAAACAGUCAUGUUUGCCUAGAUUGCAUAGAGAGGGUCGACUGGAGUACCAGAAAGCAAAUGAACAGAUAAUGACACACACAGGAAUUUCUGGAGGCAUUUUGCAUUCGAAGAAUUUACGAACACUAAAAUUAAGGAGGACAAUAUGUUAUCCUUUUGGUUUCAUCCUUUAUAAUUCUAAACCUGUUGGUCAUCAGGAUCUUGUUGGUCUGUUCAUCUCUAUACUUUUACUAGCAGAUAUUAGCUUAGUACUGCUAACUUUGCUACAGAUGUAUUCUAUUUCAUUGCUCAAUUUCCUAUUAGUUUUAUUUAUCCUUCCUCUUGGCAUACUGUUUCCAUUUCCAACUGGAAUCAGUGCCUUGUUUAGUCAUGGACCUAGGCGAUCAGCUGGUCUGGCACGUGUAUAUGCUCUGUGGAACAUAACAUCCUUGAUCAAUGUUGUAACUGCCUUUGUAUGUGGAUUUGUCCAUUAUAUGAUCCGCUCAAGUAAAAAGCAUUUGAGCUUUCAGUCCUGGAAUUUUAGCAUGGAUGAAAGUGAAUGGU